Molecule: ribosomal RNA, 160 nt
Filed under: uncultured Comamonas sp.
Lineage: Bacteria; Pseudomonadati; Pseudomonadota; Betaproteobacteria; Burkholderiales; Comamonadaceae
Description: partial 16S ribosomal RNA
Rfam family: Bacterial small subunit ribosomal RNA
Source: RNAcentral
UGGGGAAUUUUGGACAAUGGACGCAAGUCUGAUCCAGCCAUUCCGCGUGCAGGACGAAGGCCUUCGGGUUGUAAACUGCUUUUGUACGGAACGAAAAAGCCUUGGUUAAUACCCAGGGUCCAUGACGGUACCGUAAGAAUAAGCACCGGCUAACUACGUG